CCUACGGGUGGCAGCAGUGGGGAAUAUUGGACAAUGGGGGGAACCCUAAUCCAGCGCCGCCGCGUGAGUGAAGAAGUAUUUCGUUAUGUAAAGCUCUAUCAGCAGGGAAGAAAUUGACGUUCCCUGACUAAGAAGCCCCGGCUAACUACGUGCCAGCAGCCGCGGUAAUCCGUAGGGGGCAAGCGUUAUCCGGAUUUACUGGUUGUAACGGGCGCGUAGACGGUGCAGCAAGUCUGAUGUGAAAGGUCGGGGCCCAACCCCGGGACUGCAUUGGAAACUGUUGAACUGGAGUACAGGAGAGGUAAGCGGAAUUCUUAGUGUAGCGGUGAAAGGCGUAGAUAUUAGGAGGAACACCAGUGGCGAAGGCGGCUUACUGGACUGUAACUGACGUUGAGGCUCGAAAGCGUGGGGAGCAAACAGGAUUAGAUACCCGUGUAGUC
Molecule: ribosomal RNA, 440 nt
Filed under: uncultured bacterium
Lineage: Bacteria
Description: partial 16S ribosomal RNA
Rfam family: Bacterial small subunit ribosomal RNA
Source: RNAcentral